This 429-nucleotide long non-coding RNA is filed under the name Vigna radiata. Its description in RNAcentral is "long non-coding RNA (VRAD_LNC012518)". The record is from RNAcentral. Lineage: Eukaryota; Viridiplantae; Streptophyta; Magnoliopsida; Fabales; Fabaceae.
UUAUGAUUGAUAAACCUCUAACACACGUCAAGUGUCUUUGGUUCAUAUAACUUGCUAUACCAACUACACUGUGUUAUGUAUCUCAAUCUAAGACUGGUUCAUAUAGCUUGUUAUACCAGCUCUGAUGCAUUAUACCUUAUGAGACCCAGCAUAAAAGUUUCUUUUCUCUCAACUUUCUUUUGCAAUAAGUGGGGGAUUGUUGUAAUAAUGUUAGAUUAUUGCAAAAGAAACGUUGCUCAACGGUAAUAUGCCAACAUUCAAAUUUUUCAAUGUCAAUUAAUUUUGCAACGUUAAAAUCAUUGAUUAGUUUUAAUUUCUUUUAUUUAUUUUAUUCUUUCUUAGCUCUAUAGAUAGAGAGCUCUUCCCCCAUUCCAAAAUACCAAGUUCAGUCUUUCACAUUAUUCUCCUCUCUUCUUAGUUUCAUUCUCU